Molecule: transfer RNA, 26 nt
Filed under: Alytes muletensis (Mallorcan midwife toad)
Lineage: Eukaryota; Metazoa; Chordata; Amphibia; Anura; Alytidae
Also listed under: 2 other names
Description: partial tRNA-Met
Source: RNAcentral
UGUUGGUUAACCCCCUCCUCUACUAC